AGGAUUAUAUUUAAUUAUAAUAUUUAAUUUGCAGUUAAAAGGUGUUUUUUUUUGAAACUAAUCUUU
RNAcentral lists this transfer RNA (66 nucleotides) under Evacanthus bivittatus. RNAcentral's name for it is "tRNA-Ala". Lineage: Eukaryota; Metazoa; Arthropoda; Insecta; Hemiptera; Cicadellidae. The record is from RNAcentral.